AUUGAACGCUGGCGGCAGGCCUAACACAUGCAAGUCGAGCGGAUGAAGGGAGCUUGCUCCUGGAUUCAGCGGCGGACGGGUGAGUAAUGCCUAGGAAUCUGCCUGGUAGUGGGGGAUAACGUCCGGAAACGGGCGCUAAUACCGCAUACGUCCUGAGGGAGAAAGUGGGGGAUCUUCGGACCUCACGCUAUCAGAUGAGCCUAGGUCGGAUUAGCUAGUUGGUGGGGUAAAGGCCUACCAAGGCGACGAUCCGUAACUGGUCUGAGAGGAUGAUCAGUCACACUGGAACUGAGACACGGUCCAGACUCCUACGGGAGGCAGCAGUGGGGAAUAUUGGACAAAGGGCGAAAGCCUGAUCCAGCCAUGCCGCGUGUGUGAAGAAGGUCUUCGGAUUGUAAAGCACUUUAAGUUGGGAGGAAGGGCAGUAAGUUAAUACCUUGCUGUUUUGACGUUACCAACAGAAUGAGCACCGGCUAACUUCGUG
RNAcentral lists this ribosomal RNA (484 nucleotides) under uncultured bacterium. Its description in RNAcentral is "partial 16S ribosomal RNA". It matches the Rfam family "Bacterial small subunit ribosomal RNA", at positions 30 to 507 of the family's 1533-position model. The record is from RNAcentral.